This 460-nucleotide ribosomal RNA is filed under the name uncultured bacterium. Its description in RNAcentral is "partial 16S ribosomal RNA". It matches the Rfam family "Bacterial small subunit ribosomal RNA", at positions 338 to 795 of the family's 1533-position model. The record is from RNAcentral.
CCUACGGGAGGCAGCAGUGAGGAAUAUUGGUCAAUGGCCGGAAGGCUGAACCAGCCAUGCCGCGUGAAGGUCAGUGCCCUAUGGGCGUUAAACUUCUUUUGUGCGGGAGCAAUAAUGGUCACGUGUGGCCAGACGAGAGUACCGUACGAAUAAGCAUCGGCUAACUCCGUGCCAGCAGCCGCGGUAAUACGGGGGAUGCACGCGUUAUCCGGAUUUUUUGGGUUUAAAGGGUGCGUAGGCUGGGAGGUAAGUCAGCGGGGAAAUGCCCCCGCGCAACGGGGUGAAGUGCCAUUGAUACUGCAUUGCUGGAAUGCGGAUGCGGUGGGAGGAAUGUGUGGAGUAGCGGUGAAAUGCAUAGAUAUCACACAGAACACCGAUUGCGAAGGCAUCUCACGAAUCCGCGAUUGACGCUGAUGCACGAGAGCGUGGGUAUCAAACAGGAUUAGAUACCCGUGUAGUC